This 270-nucleotide long non-coding RNA is filed under the name Manihot esculenta (cassava). RNAcentral describes it as "long non-coding RNA (MESC_LNC008426)". The record is from RNAcentral. Lineage: Eukaryota; Viridiplantae; Streptophyta; Magnoliopsida; Malpighiales; Euphorbiaceae.
UUAAGUUAGUUUGAAGCCCCUAGGAGCCAAUGUAUGUAUAUUUUCAUGAUUUGGAUGAGUUAUAUGCAUGUUGAGGGAUUUGGGAGGCAAAUGUGCAUAAAGGAGCCAAGUUUCUGCCCUUUGGCAGAAACCAGGUUCGGCAGCCGAUGGAACUUUCGGCCGCCGAACAUGGCUGGGGAGGCAGGCCUUUCGGCUGCCGAAGUUGCCCCCGAAAAGAGACUUUCGUCUCUGUCUGGGACUUUCGGCCGCCGAAGGUGCCGCCGAACCUGC